UUGGCUACUGGACAGAAUAUGUUUCUCGGGU
RNAcentral lists this non-coding RNA (31 nucleotides) under Mus musculus (house mouse). The record is from RNAcentral. Lineage: Eukaryota; Metazoa; Chordata; Mammalia; Rodentia; Muridae.